GACGAACGCUGGCGGCGUGCUUAACACAUGCAAGUCGAACGGAAAGGCCCUGCUUUUGUGGGGUGCUCGAGUGGCGAACGGGUGAGUAACACGUGAGUAACCUGCCCUUGACUUUGGGAUAACUUCAGGAAACUGGGGCUAAUACCGGAUAGGAGCUCCUGCUGCAUGGUGGGGGUUGGAAAGUUUAGGCGGUUGGGGAUGGACGCGCGGCUUAUCAGCGUGUUGGUGGGGUAGUGGCGUAGCAAGGCUUUGACGGGUAGCCGGCCUGGGAGGGUGGCCGGCCACAUUGGGACUGAGAUACGGCCCAGACUCCUACGGGAGGCAACAGUGGGGAAUAUUGCACAAUGGGCGGAAGCCUGAUGCAGCAACGCCGCGUGCGGGAUGACGGCCUUCGGGUUGUAAACCGCUUUCGCCUGUGAUGAAGCGUGAGUGACGGUAAUGGGUAAAGAAGCGCCGGCUAACUACGUG
Molecule: ribosomal RNA, 468 nt
Filed under: uncultured bacterium
Lineage: Bacteria
Description: partial 16S ribosomal RNA
Rfam family: Bacterial small subunit ribosomal RNA
Source: RNAcentral